Molecule: ribosomal RNA, 398 nt
Filed under: uncultured bacterium
Lineage: Bacteria
Description: bacterial SSU rRNA
Rfam family: Bacterial small subunit ribosomal RNA
Source: RNAcentral
AUUGAACGCUGGCGGCAUGCCUUACACAUGCAAGUCGAACGGCAGCACGGGAGCAAUCCUGGUGGCGAGUGGCGAACGGGUGAGUAAUAUAUCGGAACGUGCCCAGUAGUGGGGGAUAGCCCGGCGAAAGCCGGAUUAAUACCGCAUACGACCUGUGGGUGAAAGCGGGGGAUCGCAAGACCUCGCGCUAUUGGAGCGGCCGAUAUCAGAUUAGCUAGUUGGUGGGGUAAAGGCCUACCAAGGCGACGAUCUGUAGCUGGUCUGAGAGGACGACCAGCCACACUGGGACUGAGACACGGCCCAGACUCCUACGGGAGGCAGCAGUGGGGGAUUUUGGACAAUGGGCGCAAGCCUGAUCCAGCAACGCCGCGUGAAUGAUGAAGGCCUCGGUCGUAAGU